GAGGCAGCAGUGAGGAAUAUUGGGCAAUGGGCGCAAGCCUGACCCAGCCAUGCCGCGUGAAGGAUGAAUGCCCUAUGGGUUGUAAACUUCUUUUGUACGGGGACGAAACUUCUGGUCGUGACCAGGAUUGACUGUACCGUGCGAAUAAGCAUCGGCUAACUCCGUGCCAGCAGCCGCGGUAAUACGGAGGAUGCAAGCGUUAUCCGGAUUCUUGGGUUUAAAGGGUGCGUAGGCGGAAUAAUAAGUCAGUGGUGAAAGCCUGCGGCUUAACCGUAGAACUGCCAUUGAUACUGUUAUUCUUGAGUAUAGUUGAGGUGGGCGGAAUGUGUAAUGUAGCGGUGAAAUGCUUAGAUAUUACACAGAACACCAAUUGCGAAGGCAGCUCACUAAGCUGUUACUGACGCUGAGGCACGAAAGCGUGGGGAGCAAACAGGAUUAGAUACCCUGGUAGUCCACGCCGUAAACGAUGAUCACUCGUUGUUGGCGAUACACCGUCAGCGACUGAGCGAAAGCAAUAAGUGAUCCACCUGGGGAGUACGGCGGCAACGCUGAAACUCAAAGGAAUUGACGGGGGCCCGCACAAGCGGAGGAACAUGUGGUUUAAUUCGAUGAUACGCGAGGAACCUUACCUGGGCUUGAAAGGGGAUUGACCUCCCGGGAAACCGGGAUUCUCUUCGGAGCAAUCUCCUAGGUGCUGUAUGGUUGUCGUCAGCUCGUGCCGUGAGGUGUCGGGUUAAGUCCCAUAACGAGCGCAACCCCUAUUGUUAGUUGCCAGCGGGUAAUGCCGGGAACUCUAACGAAACUGCCGGUGUAAACCGAGAGGAAGGUGGGGAUGACGUCAAAUCAGCACGGCCCUUAUGUCCAGGGCUACACACGUGUUACAAUGGCCGGUACAAAGGGCAGCUACUUGGUGACAAGAUGCUAAUCUCGAAAACCGGUCUCAGUUCGGAUCGAAGUCUGCAACUCGACUUCGUGAAGCUGGAUUCGCUAGUAAUCGCGCAUCAGCAAU
RNAcentral lists this ribosomal RNA (1009 nucleotides) under uncultured Flavobacterium sp. RNAcentral describes it as "bacterial SSU rRNA". It matches the Rfam family "Bacterial small subunit ribosomal RNA", at positions 345 to 1356 of the family's 1533-position model. The record is from RNAcentral. Lineage: Bacteria; Pseudomonadati; Bacteroidota; Flavobacteriia; Flavobacteriales; Flavobacteriaceae.